UUAGAGCCUGACCCGGUGCAUAAGAAUCUCGCAGAGAAGACUGGGGUGAGCGACGGGGUAUCACAUGGCUCAUACUUUGGCGCGCUUUCUGCGUCUCUGAGAAUAGCUCCAUGACGUCACCAAAGAGGCCGGAGGGAGCAACUGGAACGUUUAGGAGCGGCCUACGGUCUGCGUCUUUCAGGACAGCUAGGGUAAGCCAUAGGUGCCUGUAAAGAUGACCAUGAGCUCCGUGAAACAGCUGAGCAGAGCGCUUAGUAGCAAUCAGCGCGAGAUCAGUUGCCGCGUGCAGAUCCUGAUGACGUCAGCGCUACUGUGCCGCCGUUUGCCUGAAACACCUUGAGUAUUGCCCUGGCAUGAAGAGCAGAAGCUGCAUCUCUGCUCUUUCUAGACUGUGGUCCGGACCAAAAGCAGAGGGAGACGAGCACAGGUGUGUGGUAACAGUCUCCUAGACGGGGGGGGGGAGGGUUUCCGUCCCGUCCACGUGCGUGAUAUGGCCUUCGUAGCAGAGUGGGUGCGCGCCGAUUGGGGUGCAGCCCACGCUUUCACCACGAGCUCUUGCAUGCCUAAAUGCCAUCUGGUAGCAGCUCGACUGGAGGAGCCACGAGUCUAGUUUACGGUGUACAUUUUAGGACAUCCUCAGAUCUCAGUCAUCAAAUGAAAAGGCGUCAUGCCUCAGACUAAAAGGCUUCAGUCAUCGGACAAAACGGCAUCGCGUCUCUGACUGAAAAGCUUCAGGUCUCAGGAAAAACGACGUCAGGUGUCAGGUCUCAUACAAUUAACGUUAGGCAUCAGACGAAACAGACUCAGAAAAAAAGUCAUCAGACGAAACGGACUCAGACAAAAAGUCAUCAAACGAAAAGGACUCAGGUGGAGAAUCGCGUUGCCCCGCCCCAUGUGACGUCACACGCACGCCGUUCACAGGAAGUAGUAAUGGUUGAUUGAUGGCAAAAGGAGUCAAUCAAGUUAUCGCUGACAUUUUCUGGGUAAGCGUGGCUAUGCUGAGCAGGACGAUUACCUGGAUUCACUACCCAUUUAGAUUUCCAGGCAACAAAUAAGCUCCUCCAUGCCAGAGAAUUACUGUUCGUUCAAUCAAAACCUGCAUGUCAUCCUGGACUGUACAGAAAUCUGCUGUGAAAGCCCUACAUCACUGAAACUCCACUCUGAAGUUAUAAGUGCACUACCACAUUCAAAGGUCUGGUUGGGGUAGCUCUGUGUGGUGCAGUGGAGAUGUGGUUAUGGCAGACAAGGGGUUCACUAUUGAAUAUAUGCUCUCCAGUAUUGGUGCUAGACGGAUCAUUCCACCUUUCAAAUGUGCCAAGCAGUUCAGCAAACAGGACUGUGAAAAAACACAGGACCACUGCACGCCUCAGACUUCUGGUGGAAAGAGUGAUUCGAAGGGUCAAGGAAAUACACAUCUGGGAUUCUGUUGUGCCACUCACCUUGUCAGGAAGAAUUAAUCAGAUCUGGCAUAAUUGCUGUUUUAUGGUUUAUUAUCAGGGACCAAUGUUUCUUGAGCAGUGAAUCUAUAUUAUUACAAUAGUAGUGUUACAGUGUUAACAUUUGAUAGUAGUUUUUUAUUUAUUACAUUUUUUUACCUUUUCAGUUAGUUGCAAUGCAUACCUACCACCAUUAAAUGUGUUUUUCCUUUUUUUAUUGUAAUGUAAAAUUGUAUAUUUUGUAUAAUGAAAUUAUUUAAAUAAAAUGUCCCUGAAAAUAAUUUCACAGACACAAUGAAA
Molecule: long non-coding RNA, 1736 nt
Organism: Carassius gibelio (silver crucian carp)
Lineage: Eukaryota; Metazoa; Chordata; Actinopteri; Cypriniformes; Cyprinidae
Exons: 2
Source: RefSeq, a predicted model, not a curated record